UACGUAGGGUGCGAGCGUUAAUCGGAAUUACUGGGCGUAAAGCGUGCGCAGGCGGCCGCGCAAGUCAGGUGUGAAAUCCCCGGGCUCAACCUGGGAAUUGCGCUUGAAACUAUGCGGCUUGAGUGUGGCAGAGGGGGGUGGAAUUCCACGUGUAGCAGUGAAAUGCGUAGAGAUGUGGAGGAACACCGAUGGCGAAGGCAGCCCCCUGGGCCAACACUGACGCUCAGGCACGAAAGCGUGGGGAGCAAACAGG
RNAcentral lists this ribosomal RNA (253 nucleotides) under uncultured bacterium. Its description in RNAcentral is "partial 16S ribosomal RNA". It matches the Rfam family "Bacterial small subunit ribosomal RNA", at positions 524 to 776 of the family's 1533-position model. The record is from RNAcentral.